This 4228-nucleotide long non-coding RNA is filed under the name Homo sapiens (human). Its description in RNAcentral is "HSALNT0155076". Lineage: Eukaryota; Metazoa; Chordata; Mammalia; Primates; Hominidae. The record is from RNAcentral.
GAGAGGGAAUUUCUGCGUUGUGGGCGGGGCGCAGACGGAGGGCACCGUACUCUGGGCACUAGCUUCACUGCCUACUACCCCGAGGUGCCUUAGCUCGUAAGCGUCUGUGGCUCAGGCCCUGUGCGCCUCGCAGGGACCCGCUGCUCGGGACCCCCGUCUCAGCGGCUCUUCUGUAGCUGGGCCUAGACGGUCCGCUGCCUCCUUGGGCCUGAAGGGCUCCUCUGCACUUAAACUUUGGUGGAGUAGGAGUCAAAAGGAAUCCACCUCUCCACCUAGACAACAGUUCUACCAGCAGCAACUCUCUGAAGUAACUAUGUUGGAACUCUGGAGUCUAUUCGAAUGCUUACAUCUUCCAAGGGAAAGCUGGGCUGGUAAAUAGAGGUUAAUUUCAGUCUCUGUCAGCUUUAGUGUGAUACCAGCUACUCAUGCAGUGUUACUUAACCCUGUAGCACGCAGCUGUAUCCACAUUCCUGGUGCGGCUUGCUGGAGGCUGGGUGGGCGAUACGAACUUUGUCCUCCAAAUACUGGCUGUCGACACUCUGGUUGUUGAUGACUGAAGUGCAGGUGCAGAGGCAGGUUGCCACUGUUUUGACCCCCCACCAGCUGAACCUCUUUCCAAGGGUUUUAAAAGAAUAGCACCUGUUUUGUUUGUUUGCUUCCCUUUUACUCCAUUUAUGAGUCAGAUAUUGAAGGAUUAGGAUAUUCAAAAGCAAUCACUUAGGCAGGGGAAAGUAGAAAGCUACUGCAUAUAACCAGGGAAAGACACAGGCUAAGAAAAGACCUGAGAAAACCUUAAGCUUUCACCCGAGGCUGAUCCUGAUCCCCAGCACAGAGACAAUUACAAAAGCCCAGCAAACAUGGGGGCAGGAGAAUCUUAUUUUCAGAUUCACCACAUUAUGAGAUUCAAAUGUUCAAUUUUCAACAACAACAAAUCAUAAGGAUUUAAAGUGAAGCCAAAUGUGGUGGCAUGUGGUUGUAGUCCCACUUAAUUGGUUGUUACUGGGCAACAUAGUGAGACCCCAUCUCUAGUUGAAAAAUAAAAUUUUUAAAAAAAUCACAAGACAUACAAAUAAACAGGAAAGUAUGGUCAAUUCAGAAGAACAAAAUAAAUCAACUCAAACUAUUCCCACAGAAGCCAAGAUAGAUGUCUGAGUUAAUAGACAAAGGCUUUAAAACAACUAUUUUGAAGUCGUUCGAAGAACUAACAGGGCUGGGCGUGGGGUGGCUCACGCCUGUAAUCCCAGCGCUUUGGGAAGCCAAGGUGGGCAGAUCACCUGAGGUCAGGAGUUCGAGACCAGCCUGGCCAACAUGGUGAAACCCUGUCUCUACUAAAUACAAAAAUUAGCUGGGCAUGGUGGCGUACGCCUGUAAUCUCAGCUUUUCAGGAGGCUGAGGGAGGAGAAUUGCUUGAACCUGGGAGGCGGAGUUUGCAGUGAGUUGAGUUCCUGCCACUGCUCUCCAGCCUGGGUGACAGAGUGAGACUCUAUCUCCAAAAAAAAACAAACAAACAGAAAAAGGACUAAAGGAAGACAUGAACAAAGUCAGGAAAACAAUGUAUGAAUAAAAUUAGACUAUCAUUAAAGAGAAAUUAUAAAAAGGAGCUGAGGCCAGGUGUGAUGGCUCAUGCCGGUAAUCCCAGCACUUUGGGAGGCCAAGGCUCGUGGAUCAUGAGGUCAGGAGUUCGAGACCAGCCUGGCCAACAUGGUGAAACCUCAUCUCUACUAAAAAUACAAGAACUAGCUGGGUGUGGUGGCAUGCCUGUGUUCCCAGCUACUCAGGAGGGUAAGGCAGGAGAAUCACUUGAACCCAGGAGGUGGAGGUUGCAGUGCACCCAGAUUGCACCACUGCACUCCAGCCUGGGUGACAGAGCGAGACUCUUAGAAAAAAAAGGAGCUGAAAUGAAAUUCUAGACCUGAAAGAUACAGUAACUGAAAUGAAAAAUUUACAUAGAGGGGUUCAAAAACAGAUUUGAAUGAGCAGAAGAAAGAACCAGCAAAUUUGAAUAUAUUUCUUUGUAAAAUACCCGCGGAACCCUGUUCCUUCGUUUUACCUCCUGCUUCCUUAGCUCAAGCCUUCCUCAUCUUAGGCAGCCUCCAAACUAUUCUAUCAACCUCCCCUUUUCCCUGCUCUAGUUUUACUAGAGUGAUCUUUAAAAAAACCCCAAAUCUAAUAUUGUCACUGUCCUUUAAAAUAUCCAAGGGCACCCGUGUGUCUAUAGAGUGAACUUCAGUUUCCUUAUUUUAGCAUUCAAGGACCUUCCUAUUUUGGCUCCAGCCUACUACAUUGCUUUAUUUCACACCAGCCCCACAUUCCAUUCAUAUACUGUAACCACAUUUUCUUGGGUACAAAGUCACUUACUGAAAAAAAGUUGAGCAUAUUUGGAAACCAAAAUUCAUUUUCUGUGAAUGGGAUAUCAAUAUAUAGCAUUGGUAGGCAUUGAAACAGACUAUAGUCUAUUUUUAAAAUGGAUUAGAUGAUAAAAACAACAUGUAUGUCAUCACUAAUCCAGUGGUCAAUAUUAGCAUAACUCUGUAAGAUACAAUAAAUGUUAUAUCUAUUGUAGAUACAAUGUUAUGUAUCUAACAUAAUAUCUAACAUGUUAGAUUCAUAACGUUGUAUGUAAUAUAAUGAAACAUGAAGUAUAACCUGUCACUUGUGAGGUAUACUAGUCUGAUAUGUUUGACUUGAAUCCACUGAGUCUUCAAAUAUAACUUUCUUGUUCAAGAAAUACAAGGCUUGCAGGAACAAGCUCAAUGACUUCAUGAGGAAGCAACCACUCAGAUAAAAACAUUUUGCACUUCAAGUGGCCUGAUUUCUACAGUGAACAAGAAUCUUUUAAUUUUUUUUUAAGUGCCAUAAUUAAAAAGUCAAGGGAUGUAACCAGAUGGAAUGUAUGGUCCUGAAUUGGAUAAUUUGGGUAUACUGGUUGUAGAAAAAUAUAAUUUGGUCAACAGAAUAUUUGAUUGUAGUUAGGUAUUAUGUGAGAGGAAAUUUUCCUGUAACAUUACUGAGUUAAGAAAGCCAACUGUAAAAAUAACUUUAGAUGGAUAGAAAAUGUGAAUGUGAUCUAGGAAUUAGGUGAGAAGAAAAUGUACUGAAAUAAGGUAGAUAUUUUUAAUUGAAAAAGGAGAUGACUAAAGUGAUCUCAUUUUGAAAAAAAAAAUACACACACACAGAAGGAUAUACUCUAAAGUAUUAACAUUGGCCCUGGGAAUGCCAUGGUUUUUUUUUGUUUUUCAUUAAAACAUAGAGACACGGUCUCACUAUGUUGCCCAGGCUGGUCUCGAACUCCUAGGCUCAAGCCAUCCUCCCACCUCAGCCUCCCAAAGUGUUAAAAUUACAGGCAUGAGCCACCACACCUGGCCUUUUUUAUUAAAAAAAAUUUUUUUUAAAUGCAAUGUUUUCUUUUUUUGUUGUUGUUUUAGCUUGUGUCUAUUCUCCAAAGCAUGUUGUACUGAUUGUGUAGUACAAUUUUAUUUAAAAAUGUAUGUUAAGAUUUACAUAAAUAUUUGGGGUGUCCAUGAAUCAAGAAAUACAUGAAAGUAUGGGCACCAAAACGUUAAAAGUGGUUUUGUUGGGAGUUCAGGGGAUUUUACUUUCUCCCUAAUACUUUAUUCUUUGAAUAUCUUGAAAUGGAUAUUUUGUAACUGUAUAAGGAGAAAGGAAGCGAAACUAUUUUUCUGCAGGGGUACACCCACAUCUAUUGUAUUAGACAAAUCACAGAGGGAUUGCAACAGAACACAGAUUUUUCUCACUGUUUUUUCUCUGGUUGAUCGGGAUGCAUUAUCCACCAGAAAACACUGUAGACGACUCACUCACCAGGAAAAGAGCAUAUGCCAGUUGGAAUAAAUAAAGGGGAAGAGUAAGGAAGAGGCUGUAGAAUUAUUUUAUAAAUUAUCAAGUCUUAUGAGCCAGGUGCAGUGGUGCAUGCCUAUGUACAGUCCCAGCUACUCAGGAGGCUGAGGUGGUAGGAUAGCUUGAGCCCAGGAGUUCGAGGGUGGAGUGUGAUAUGAUCGUCUGUGAAUAGCCACAGCACUGCAUCCUGGACAAGAUAGGGUCUCUUUAAAAAUAAGACUUAACUAGCACUUUAAUAAUCAUUGUUUUUGUUCCCAACUGCAUUGUACAUUCAUUGAGGACAGGGACUUUAAACUUCAUUAUAUUGCUGUUGCUGUGUUUCACCUUUGAAUGAUUUUUAAAUAAAAAUCUCAUCUUUGAGUCACAAUCUGAU